Gadus macrocephalus (Pacific cod) is the source of this 1503-nucleotide long non-coding RNA. RefSeq lists it as uncharacterized. The record is from RefSeq and is a predicted model, not a curated record. The transcript is spliced from 2 exons. Lineage: Eukaryota; Metazoa; Chordata; Actinopteri; Gadiformes; Gadidae.
GUAUCCGAGGGUUUUAACUGUGUCUCUGUAUCCGAGGGUUUUUAACAGUGUCUCUGUAGCCGAGGGUUUUAACAGUUUCUCUGUAUCCAAGGGUUUUAACAGUGCCUCUGUAGCCGAGGGUUUUAACAAUGUCUCUGUAGCCGAGGGUUUUUAACAGUGUCUCUGUAGCCAAGGGUUCUAACAGUGUCUCCGUAUCCGAGGGUUUUUAACAGUGUCUCUGUAUCCGAGGGUUUGCACUGUGCUCUCUCCACAUGCUCUCCACAGGCUGAUCCGAAGGCUGCAGUGUGACGCCGCAGACGCAGCCGUGUGACGCCGCAGACGCAACUUCCGGGUAGCCGGCUUGGUUUGGUUUGUUUGGUUUGGUUAGCAGGACGCUUAGCGUCGACCUGCUAUCUCGGUUUGUAUCUAUUUUUCGGUAGUUAUAUCUGUGACCUGUUCUGCAUACUCUGUACUGUAUUCGCUGUUUCCUCGCCGGAGCUCCGUCUGCAUCAACCACGGGCUUUUCUGUCCAUUACAGAUACGCUUGGCUUCAAACAGCUCGUCCAGCAACCAACCCACAUCGGUGGAAACACGUUGGAUCUCGUUCUGACCCGCGGUGUUGACAUUUCGCAGCUAGUGGUCUCUUCCUACACCUCAGCUUUAUCAGACCACUUUUUGCUCACUUUCCAGGUGGUGGUAUCCUGCCCCUGCGACAAUCAGCAAGCUACUUUCAGCUGUCGCCGCAUCACACCUGCAACCAUUACAGCCAUGGAAGAUAAGUUAUCUGGUUCACUUGCACCUCUCUGUAACUAUAGUGGUUCUGUGGAGUGCCUUACUGAUGACCUCAACAUUGCCUUGUCUGUUGCCAUUGAUUCAGUUGCUCCGUACGUAACUAAAAAACGAACAUUGAAAAAACCAGCUCGUUGGUUUAAUGCAGAAACUCGCAUUUUGAAGCGAAAUUGCAGGAUCCUUGAACGCAAAUGGCGCUCGACUAAACUUGAGGUCUUUCAUCUUGCAUGGCAUAAUAGUCUGGUCACCUAUAAGGGUGCGCUGACUAUCGCCAGGAAUGCCUACUUUUCUAGUAUCAUUAAUUUGAAUAGAAAUAAUCCUAAGUUUCUUUUUGACACGGUGAGGAGUCUCACUCAGAAACAGAAUCAGACCGUAGGCUCCUCGAUCUCGGCAGGUGAAUUCAUGGAUUUCUUUGAGAAUAAGAUUCAAUCAAUUAGAGAGGAAAUUGAUGCUUACCGGGCGGCUAAUCCUACACAUCCUGUGGGGCAGGAUGGGGUUCUGCCAAGUAGGAUGGUGAACUCUGACGCAACUCUUUUGGAGUUUAAGGCGAUUUCCUUGGUGGAACUUGAAAGGGUGAUAAAGGCCUCAAAGCCAACAACUUGUAUGUUGGAUCCGCUCCCUUCUAGGGUUCUUAAGGAACUUUUUCCAACGGUGGGGCCUGUUAUCCUCUUGCUUAUGAAUCUUUCGUUUUCAACAGGAAUUGUUCCUUCCAAUUUCAAGGCUGCGGUGUUAAAA